RNAcentral lists this ribosomal RNA (468 nucleotides) under uncultured bacterium. RNAcentral describes it as "partial 16S ribosomal RNA". It matches the Rfam family "Bacterial small subunit ribosomal RNA", at positions 28 to 507 of the family's 1533-position model. The record is from RNAcentral.
GACGAACGCUGGCGGCGUGCUUAACACAUGCAAGUCGAACGGAAAGGCCCUGCUCUUGUGGGGUGCUCGAGUGGCGAACGGGUGAGUAACACGUGAGUAACCUGCCCUUGACUUUGGGAUAACUUCAGGAAACUGGGGCUAAUACCGGAUAGGAGCUCCUGCUGCAUGGUGGGGGUUGGAAAGUUUCGGCGGUUGGGGAUGGACUCGCGGCUUAUCAGCUUGUUGGUGGGGUAGUGGCUUACCAAGGCUUUGACGGGUAGCCGGCCUGAGAGGGUGACCGGGCACAUUGGGACUGAGAGACGGACCAGACUGCUACGGGAGGCAGCAGUGGGGAAUAUUGCACAAUGGGCGGAAGCCUGAUGCAGCAGCGCCGCGUGCGGGAUGACGGCCUUCGGGUUGUAAACCGCUUUCGCCUGUGACGAAGCGUGAUUGACGGUAAUGGGUAAAGAAGCACCGGCUAACUACGUG